UUUUUUUAUUUUUAUUUUUUUUAAGAUCUAGAUAACUGUAAGAUAUUUGAUGAGAAGCUCACCGGCAAUGGACGGGAAUAAAGGAACCGAUCCAAAUAGUUGACGGACAGAUAAGCCGUCAAUGGCUGGAAUCUAUAGUAUGCUUGCACCUGAAAAAACGAACCGCGUAAAGGAUGAAUAAAAGCAUGGACAUAUAUACAUGCGCUGCCAAUCCAUGAGAAGUAGCCGCGGAUCCAACGGCUGAUAAACCUAUAUUCAAGUUUCAAUCAAUAACUCCUCCGAAAUAGACACUGCGACUGAGCUGGACUGCUCAGAUCUCAUAUAGUACUUUUAACUGACUAAUCUAAACAUGUUGUGUACCGUAGUGGCAAUAUAGUAAUAUCAGUAAACUUAUUGUCGUUUACCUUGAGAAUCCAUGCAACGGAUUCUUCGCGAGCCGAUGCAUCGAGAGAGCG
RNAcentral lists this unclassified non-coding RNA (455 nucleotides) under Hevea brasiliensis (rubber tree). Lineage: Eukaryota; Viridiplantae; Streptophyta; Magnoliopsida; Malpighiales; Euphorbiaceae. The record is from RNAcentral.